Pomacea canaliculata is the source of this 247-nucleotide long non-coding RNA. RefSeq lists it as uncharacterized. The transcript has 2 exons. Lineage: Eukaryota; Metazoa; Mollusca; Gastropoda; Architaenioglossa; Ampullariidae. The record is from RefSeq and is a predicted model, not a curated record.
GAAUCUGUGAUUAAAAUCGAUCGUGAAUUAGUUGUCGAUUGGCAACUGAGCGAGUCCAGUCCUCAAAUUACAGUAGCCCAACUUUGUCCAUUCAAGAAGAUGCCAGAUGGAAAUUAUGGAAUCUGCGUUGAACUUGUCAUUAGACAAAAGCAGUGUUGUAAAUUAUCUUGCAUGUUAAAAAAAAAAAAAAAAAAAAAAAAAGUUUGAAAUGUAAAAUGGUGGCCUUGCAGUCAACUAAAAUAAAAAA